Small nucleolar RNA from Nannospalax galili (Upper Galilee mountains blind mole rat), 127 nucleotides. RefSeq annotates it as small nucleolar RNA SNORA32. The record is from RefSeq and is a predicted model, not a curated record. NCBI's taxonomy places the organism in Eukaryota, Metazoa, Chordata, Mammalia, Rodentia, Spalacidae. The transcript has a single exon.
AAAAUAUUAAAGAAAAAAAAGGAAUGCAGUUUCUCAUUUGCUAUGGAAAUGACCAUUAAAAAAAAAAAAGUUCCCACUAGGUUUUCUAUGAGCUACUUUACCAGCGAUCAACUUACUGGGAACAUUU